CCUACGGGAGGCAGCAGUGAGGAAUAUUGGUCAAUGGUCGGGAGACUGAACCAGCCAAGCCGCGUGAGGGAGGAAGGUACAGAGGAUCGUAAACCUCUUUUGUCAGGGAACAAAGGCGGGGACGUGUCCCCGGAUGAGUGUACCUGAAGAAAAAGCAUCGGCUAACUCCGUGCCAGCAGCCGCGGUAAUACGGAGGAUGCGAGCGUUAUCCGGAUUUAUUGGGUUUAAAGGGUGCGCAGGCGGUCUGUUAAGUCAGCGGUAAAAGCCCGGGGCUCAACCCCGGCCCGCAGUUGAAACUGGCAGUCUCGAGUUGGAGAGAGGUAUGCGGAAUGCGCGGUGUAGCGGUGAAAUGCAUAGAUAUCGCGAAGAACUCCGAUUGCGAAGGCAGCAUGCCGG
This 396-nucleotide ribosomal RNA is filed under the name uncultured bacterium. RNAcentral's name for it is "partial 16S ribosomal RNA". It matches the Rfam family "Bacterial small subunit ribosomal RNA", at positions 338 to 732 of the family's 1533-position model. The record is from RNAcentral.